GCUGAACUUGAUGGACGCAAGUCUCUUUUCAGCUAUGUAACUAUGUACUAUGUACUAAUAUUUGUGAUGGGUAUUUAAUUUUUAUUUUUUUAAAUGCAUGUAGGCCCAUGUGUGAAUGCAUGUGUGUUUGUUGCAGUGUCUCAUACACACACACAGUCAUACACAUAUACUAUCAAAUACAGCCAUAUACGCACAGUCCUAGGUACAUAGUUACUCUCACACAGUCACACACAAAGUUACAGGCAGAUGGUCACACACGCACACAGUUACAGGCAGACAGUCACACAAAUUCUCCCACAUAAUUACAG
This is a non-coding RNA of Pelobates cultripes (western spadefoot toad), 308 nucleotides long. The record is from the annotation of a GenBank genome assembly. NCBI's taxonomy places the organism in Eukaryota, Metazoa, Chordata, Amphibia, Anura, Pelobatidae.